RNAcentral lists this ribosomal RNA (1490 nucleotides) under metagenome. RNAcentral's name for it is "bacterial SSU rRNA". It matches the Rfam family "Bacterial small subunit ribosomal RNA". The record is from RNAcentral.
AGAGUUUGAUCCUGGCUCAGAACGAACGCUGGCGGCGUGCUUAACACAUGCAAGACGCACGAGAAAGUCUUCGGAUGAGUAAAGUGGCGCACGGGUGAGUAAUAGUUAGGAACAUGCCUUUCACAGGGGGAUAACAGCUGGAAACGGCUGCUGAUACCGCAUGGUAUCGUAAGAUUAAAGAUGGCCUCUAUUUAUAAGCUAUCGGUGAAAGAUUGGCCUAACUCCCAUUAGCUAGUUGGCAGGGUAACGGCCUACCAAGGCUACGAUGGGUAGCUGGUCUGAGAGGAUGAUCAGCCACACUGGAACUGAGACACGGUCCAGACUCCUACGGGAGGCAGCAGUGGGGAAUCUUGCGCAAUGGACGAAAGUCUGACGCAGCAACGCCGCGUGAGUGAAGAAGGCCUUUGGGUUGUAAAGCUCCUUCGAACGGGAAGAAGGGUGAACACGCAAACAGCAGGUUCAUUUGACGGUACCGUAUGAAGAAGUCACGGCUAACUUCGUGCCAGCAGCCGCGGUAAUACGAAGGUGACAAGCGUUGUUCGGAAUCAUUGGGCGUAAAGCGCACGUAGGCGGGUUUGUAAGUCGAUUGUGAAAACCCUGGGCUCAACCCGGGACCUGCAGUCGAAACUACAAGUCUUGAAUGCUCGAGAGGAUAGUGGAAUUCCAGGAGUAGAAGUGAAAUUCGUAGAUAUCUGGAGGAACACCGGAGGCGAAAGCGGCUAUCUGGCGAGACAUUGACGCUAAGGUGCGAAAGCGUGGGGAUCAAACAGGAUUAGAUACCCUGGUAGUCCACGCCAUAAACGAUGAAUACUAGAUGUUCGGAGAGUUAACCCUCUGAGUAUCAAAGCUAACGCAUUAAGUAUUCCGCCUGGGAAGUACGGCCGCAAGGCUGAAACUCGAAGAAAUUGACGGGGGCCCGCACAAGAGGUGGAGUAUGUGGUUCAAUUCGAAGCAACGCGCAGAACCUUACCUGGUCUUGACAUCCCUUGAUAAUCCUAGAGAUAGGACUUUCCCUUCGGGGACAAGGUGACAAGUGCUGCAUGGCUGUCGUCAGCUCGUGUCGUAGGAUGUUGGGUUAAGUCCCGCAACGAGCGCAACCCCUGUCUUUAGUUGCCACCAUUAAGUUGGGCACUCUAAAGAGACCGCCGGUGUUAAACCGGAGGAAGGCGGGGAUGACGUCAAGUCCUCAUGGCCUUUACGACCAGGGCUACACACGUACUACAAUGGCAGAAACAAACCGAUGCAAAACCGCGAGGUGAAGCGAAUCGGAAAAACACUGCCUCAGUUCGGAUUGGAGUCUGCAACUCGACUCCAUGAAGCUGGAAUCUCUAGUAAUCGCAGAUCAGCACGCUGCGGUGAAUACGUUCCCGGGCCUUGUACACACCGCCCGUCACACCACGAAAGUGGUUAUAACCAGAAGCAGGUGAGCUAACUUCGGAGGCAGCCUACCAAGGUUAUAGCCGUGAUUGGGGUGAAGUCGUAACAAGGUA